Molecule: ribosomal RNA, 444 nt
Filed under: uncultured Mollicutes bacterium
Lineage: Bacteria; Bacillati; Mycoplasmatota; Mollicutes
Description: bacterial SSU rRNA
Rfam family: Bacterial small subunit ribosomal RNA
Source: RNAcentral
CGGAGCAUGUGGCUUAAUCGACGCAACGCGAAGAACCUUACCAGGUCUUGACAUACCAUUGACAGGCGCAGAGAUGUGCUCUCCUUCGGGCAAUGGAUACAGGGUGGUGCAUGGUUGUCGUCAGCUCGUGCCGUGAGGUGUUGGUUAAGUCCGCAACGAGCGCAACCCUCAUUGUUAGUUACUACCAUUCAGUUGAGGACUCUAAUGAGACUGCCAACGAUAAGUUGGAGGAAGGUGGGGAUGACGUCAAAUCAUCAUGCCCUUUAUGACCUGGGCUACAAACGUACUACAAUGGCCAAUACAAAGAGAUGCGAAGCGGUGACGUGGAGCGAACCUCAGAAAGUUGGUCUCAGUUCAGAUUGAAGUCUGCAACUCGACUUCAUGAAGGCGGAAUCGCUAGUAAUCGCGGGUCAGCAGACCGCGGUGAAUACGUUCCCGGGUUUU